Medicago truncatula (barrel medic) is the source of this 572-nucleotide long non-coding RNA. RefSeq lists it as uncharacterized. The transcript has 3 exons. Lineage: Eukaryota; Viridiplantae; Streptophyta; Magnoliopsida; Fabales; Fabaceae. The record is from RefSeq and is a predicted model, not a curated record.
AUAGAUAAUAUGCAAUGUUUAUAGAUAAUAUGCAUGUGUAUCAACUGUGCCCUUCAUUCCAAGUCAAAAUCAAAGUCAAGUAUAAUCCCAUGGAUGAAAAUAAAGUGUCCUAUGCAAACGAACGAAUGGCAUUGACUGUGGCUAUUUUGUCAUGCAAUUUAUGAAAGAGAUAAUAUUGGCAAAUCAAGACAUGAUCCCCGAAAAUGUAUGUAUGUGAUUUUUAAUAUACUGUUAAUUUGUAAUCAUAUAUAUAACUAGGCAUUCUUUUUCUAACUCAAUUUUUUGCUACUUUUAUAUUUGAAUUAUUUUGGAGAUUACAAAUGUAAAACCUAUUCUAAAUAUAAGCUAGUUCAGGUCGAGGAGGAUUGGGCAACCUUUAUGGUCGAGUAUCUUAGAGACUAUAUUGCUGAUAGACUUAAACCAUAAUUGGUUGUGCUGGACUAUAUAGCUUGUCACGAGUCCUCUUAAAUUUAGGUGUUUUUUUGUUGAUAAUUAACUGUGGCUGCUUUUAGGAGUUUUUAUUUUUUAUUUUUUUUAUUGGCAAUUGUAGAUUGAUUAGUAUUAUGACAUUC